This 375-nucleotide ribosomal RNA is filed under the name uncultured organism. RNAcentral's name for it is "partial 16S ribosomal RNA". It matches the Rfam family "Bacterial small subunit ribosomal RNA", at positions 527 to 896 of the family's 1533-position model. The record is from RNAcentral.
GUAGGUGGCAAGCGUUGUCCGGAAUUAUUGGGCGUAAAGCGCGCGCAGGCGGUUCUUUAAGUCUGAUGUGAAAGCCCACGGCUCAACCGUGGAGGGUCAUUGGAAACUGGAGAACUUGAGUACAGAAGAGGAAAGCGGAAUUCCACGUGUAGCGGUGAAAUGCGUAGAGAUGUGGAGGAACACCAGUGGCGAAGGCGGCUUUCUGGUCUGUAACUGACGCUGAGGCGCGAAAGCGUGGGGAGCAAACAGGGAUUAGAUACCCUGGUAGUCCACGCCGUAAACGAUGAGUGCUAAGUGUUAGGGGGGUUUCCGCCCCCUUAGUGCUGCAGCUAACGCAUUAAGCACUCCGCCUGGGGAGUACGCCCCGCAAGGCUG